This 72-nucleotide transfer RNA is filed under the name Camelus bactrianus (Bactrian camel). It matches the Rfam family "tRNA". From Rfam's summary of the family: Transfer RNA (tRNA) molecules are approximately 80 nucleotides in length. Their secondary structure includes four short double-helical elements and three loops (D, anti-codon, and T loops). The record is from Rfam by way of RNAcentral. RNAcentral also lists the same sequence under 1 other name. Lineage: Eukaryota; Metazoa; Chordata; Mammalia; Artiodactyla; Camelidae.
GAGGGUAUAGCUCAGUGGUAAAGUGUGUGCUUAGCAUGCACGAGGUCAGAGGUUCAAUCUCCAGUACCUCCG